UCUUUGGGUUUUUGGGGGGAGUAUGGUCGCAAGGCUGAAAACUUAAAGGAAUUGNCCGGAAAGGGCACCCACCCAGGAGUGGAGCCUGCGGCUUAAUUUGACUCAACACGGGGAAACUUACCAGGUCAAAACAUGGGUGGGAUUGACAGAUUGAGAGCUCUUUCUUGAUUCUGUGGGUGGUGGUGCAUGGCCGUUCUUAGUUCGUGGAGUGAUUUGUCUGGUUAAUUCCGUUAACGGACGAGACCUUAACCUGCUAACUAGUUCCCGGCCAGUCCCUCCGGACGCGGGAGACUUCUUAGAGGGACUAUGCGGUUAUGAAACGCAUGGAAGUUUGAGGCAAUAACAGGUCUGUGAUGCCCUUAGAUGUCCUGGGCCGCACGCGCGCUACAAUGACACGCUCAGCAAGCACUUAUCCUGGCCCGGGAGGGUUCGGGUAAUCUUAAUAAUACGUGUCGUGUUAGGGAUCGAUCUUUGCAACUUUGGAUCUUGAACGAGGAAUCCUAGUAAGUGCAAGCAUCAGCUGACGAUAC
This 530-nucleotide ribosomal RNA is filed under the name uncultured eukaryote. Its description in RNAcentral is "bacterial SSU rRNA". It matches the Rfam family "Eukaryotic small subunit ribosomal RNA", at positions 1104 to 1644 of the family's 1831-position model. The record is from RNAcentral.